ACUCCUACGGGAGGCAGCAGUGGGGAAUAUUGGACAAUGGGCGCAAGCCUGAUCCAGCCAUGCCGCGUGGGUGAAGAAGGCCUUCGGGUUGUAAAGCCCUUUUGUUGGGAAAGAAAAGCAGUCGGUUAAUACCCGAUUGUUCUGACGGUACCCAAAGAAUAAGCACCGGCUAACUUCGUGCCAGCAGCCGCGGUAAU
RNAcentral lists this ribosomal RNA (197 nucleotides) under Xanthomonas citri pv. citri. RNAcentral describes it as "partial 16S ribosomal RNA". It matches the Rfam family "Bacterial small subunit ribosomal RNA", at positions 335 to 524 of the family's 1533-position model. The record is from RNAcentral. Lineage: Bacteria; Pseudomonadati; Pseudomonadota; Gammaproteobacteria; Lysobacterales; Lysobacteraceae.